This 444-nucleotide ribosomal RNA is filed under the name uncultured bacterium. RNAcentral describes it as "bacterial SSU rRNA". It matches the Rfam family "Bacterial small subunit ribosomal RNA", at positions 331 to 792 of the family's 1533-position model. The record is from RNAcentral.
CCAGACUCCUACGGGAGGCAGCAGUGGGGGAUAUUGCACAAUGGGGGCAACCCUGAUGCAGCGACGCCGCGUGAGCGAUGGAGUACUUCGGUAUGUAAAGCUCUGUCAGCAGGGAAGAGAAUGACAGUACCUGACCAAGAAGCCCCGGCUAACUACGUGCCAGCAGCCGCGGUAAUACGUAGGGGGCGAGCGUUAUCCGGAUUCACUGGGCGUAAAGGGAGCGCAGGCGGCACGGCAAGUCCGGUGUGAAAGCCCGGGGCCCAACCCCGGGACUGCACUGGAAACUGCCGGGCUGGAAUGUCGGAGGGGCAGGCGGAAUUCCUAGUGUAGCGGUGAAAUGCGUAGAUAUUAGGAGGAACACCGGUGGCGAAGGCGGCCUGCUGGACGACGACUGACGCUGAGGCUCGAAAGCGUGGGGAGCAAACAGGAUUAGAUACCCGGGUA